RNAcentral lists this small RNA (127 nucleotides) under Marmota monax (woodchuck). Lineage: Eukaryota; Metazoa; Chordata; Mammalia; Rodentia; Sciuridae. The record is from RNAcentral.
CCCAGGUGUGGUGGCGCACGCCUGUAAUCCCCGUGGCUCGGGAGGCUGAGGCAGGAGGUUGGUGAGCUCAAAGCCAGCCUCAGCAAUUUGGUGAGGCCCUAAGCAACUUAGCAAGACCCUGUCUCAA